CGUAGGUGGCAAGCGUUGUCCGGAUUUAUUGGGUUUAAAGGGUGCGUAGGCGGCCUUAUAAGUCAGUGCUGAAAUAUCCCAGCUUAACUGGGAGGGUGGCAUUGAUACUGUAGGGCUUGAGUCGAGUUGAGGUUGGCGGAAUUGACGGUGUAGCGGUGAAAUGCUUAGAUAUCGUCAAGAACACCGAUAGUGAAGACAGCUAACUAAGCUCAAACUGACGCUGAGGCACGAAAGUGUGGGGAUCAAACAGGAUUAGAUACCCUGGUAGUCCACACUGUAAACGUUGAUUACUCGCUGUGUGCGAUAUACAGUACGCGGCUAAGCGAAAGCGAUAAGUAAUCCACCUGGGGAGUACGCCGGCAACGGUG
This 368-nucleotide ribosomal RNA is filed under the name uncultured organism. RNAcentral's name for it is "bacterial SSU rRNA". It matches the Rfam family "Bacterial small subunit ribosomal RNA", at positions 526 to 896 of the family's 1533-position model. The record is from RNAcentral.